This 333-nucleotide ribosomal RNA is filed under the name uncultured eukaryote. Its description in RNAcentral is "partial 18S ribosomal RNA". It matches the Rfam family "Eukaryotic small subunit ribosomal RNA", at positions 1470 to 1796 of the family's 1831-position model. The record is from RNAcentral.
CCCUUAGAUGUUCUGGGCAGCACGCGCGCUACAAUGGUCUUCGCAAACGGAUGCAUUCUCGAAGGAGAAUGCCAAUCUUGGAAUCUAUGCCUUGGUCGGGACAGUUGCUUGCAAUUUUUCGACUCGAACCAGGAAUUCCUUGUAAUCGUGAUUCAUCACAUCACGAUGAAUACGUCCCUGCCCUUUGUACACACCGCCCGUCGCUCCUACCGAUUGGAUGGUUUAGUGAGACCCUCGGAUCGGUCCCGACUCGGGGUGGGCUUCUGCCCCGGUCGUGGUUUCGCCGAGAAGACGGUCGAACUUGACUAUCUAGAGGAAGUAAAAGUCGUAACA